AUGAUUGUUGCUGCUGUUGUCACUAUUGUUGCUGCUGUUGUUGCUGCCAUUACUAUUGCUGUUGCUGUGGUUCCCAUUGUCGUGGCGGUGGUUACUGUUGCUGCUGCUGUUGUUGCCAUUGUUACUAUUAUUGCUGUUGUUGUGGCUGCCAUUACUAUUGCUGCUUCUGUGGUUCCCAUUGUUGUGGUGGUUACUGUUGUUGCUGCUAAUAUUGCCAUUGUUACUAUUGUUGCUGCUGUUGUUGCUGCCAUUACUAUUGCUGCUGCUGUGGUUCCCAUUGUUGUGGUGGUGAUUGCUGUUGCUGCUGCUGUUGUUGCCAUUGUUAUGAUUGUUGCUGCUAUUGUUGCUGCCAUUACAAUUGCUGCUUCUGUGGUUCCCAUUGUUGUGGUGGUGAUUGCUGUUGUUGCUGCUAAUAUUGCCAUUGUCACUCUUGUUGCUGCUGCUGUUGUCACUGUUACUAUUGUUGCUGUUGUUGUUGCUGCCAUUACUAUUGCUGCUUCUGUGGUUCCCAUUGUUGUGGCGGUGAUUGCUGUUGUUGCUGUUAAUAUUGCCAUUGUCACUAUUGUUGCUGCUGUUGUUGCCAUUGUUACUAUUGUUGCUGCUGUUGUUGCUGCCAUUACUAUUGCUGUUGCUGUGGUUCCCAUAGUUGUGGUGGUGAUUGCUGUUGCUGCUGCUGUUGUUGCCAUUGUUAUGAUUGUUGCUGCUAUUGUUGCUGCCAUUACAAUUGCUGCUUCUGUGGUUCCCAUUGUUGUGGUGGUUACUGUUGUUGCUGCUAAUAUUGCCAUUGUCACUCUUGUUGCUGCUGCUGUUGUCACUGUUACUAUUGUUGCUGCUGUUGUUGCUGCCAUUACUAUUGCUGCUGCUGUGGUUCCCAUUGUUGUGGUGGUGAUUGCUGUUGCUGCUGCUGUUGUUGCCAUUGUUAUGAUUGUUGCUGCUAUUGUUGCUGCCAUUACAGUUGCUGCUUUUGUGGUUCCCAUUGUUGUGGUGGUGGUUACUGUUGUCGCUGUUGUUGUCACUGUUACUAUUGUUGCUGCUGUUGUUGCUGCCAUUACUAUUGUUGCUUUUGUGGUUCCCAUUGUUGUGGUGGUGAUUGCUGUUGUUGCUAUUGUUUUUGCCAAUGUUAUGAUUGUUGCUGUUGUUGUCACUAUUGUUGCUGCUGUUGUUGCUGCCAUUACUAUUGCUGCUUCUCUGGUUCCCAUUGUUGUGGUGGUGGUUACUGUUGUUGCUGUUGUUGUUGUCACUGUUACUAUUGUUGCUGCUGUUGUUGCUGCCAUUACAAUUGCUACUUCUGUGGUUCCCAUUGUUGUGGUGGUGGUUACUGUUGUUGCUGCUAAUAUUGCCUUUGUCACUAUUGUUGCUGCUGCUGUCGUCACUGUCACUAUUGUUGCUGCUGUUGUUGCUGCCAUUACUAUUGCUGCUUCUGUGGUUCCCAUUGUUGUGGUGGUGAUUGCUGUUGUUGCUGUUAAUAUUGCCAUUGUCACUAUUGUUGCUGUUGUUGUUGUCACUGUUACUAUUUUUGCUGCUGUUGUUGCUGCCAUUACUAUUGCUGCUGCUGUGGUUCCCAUUGUUGUGGUGGUGAUUGCUGUUGUUGCUAUUAAUAUUGCCAUUGUCACUAUUGUUGCCGUUGUUGUUGUCAUUGUUACUAUUGUUGCUGUUGUUGCUGCUGCCAUUACUAUUGCUGCUGUUGUGGUUCCCAUUGUUGUGGUGAUUACUGUUCUUGCUAUUGUUGCCAUUGUUAUGAUUGUUGCUGUUGUUGUCACUGUUACUAUUGUUGCUGCUGUUGUUGCUGUCAUUACUAUUGCUGUUGCUGUGGUUCCCAUUGCUGUGGUGGUGGUUACUGUUGUUGCUGUUGUUGUCAUUGUUACUAUUGUUGCUGCUGUUUUUGUCACUGUUACUAUUGUUGCUGCUGUUGUUGCUGCCAUUACUAUUGCUGCUGUUGUGGUUCCCAUUGUUGUGGUGAUUACUGUUCUUGCUAUUGUUGUUGCCAUUGUUAUGAUUGUUGCUGUUGUUGUCACUGUUACUAUUGUUGCUGCUGUUGUUGCUGUCAUUACUAUUGCUGUUGCUGUGGUUCCCAUUGCUGUGGUGGUGGUUACUGUUGUUGCUGUUGUUGUCAUUGUUACUAUUGUUGCUGCUGUUUUUGUCACUGUUACUAUUGUUGCUGCUGUUGUUGCUGCCAUUACUAUUGCUGUUGCUGUGGUUCCCAUUGCUGUGGUGGUGGUUACUGUUGUUGCUGUUUUUGUUGCCAUUUUUACUAUUAUUGCUGUUGUUGUCACUGUUACUAUUGUUGCCAAUCUUGUCACUGUUGUUACUAUUGCUGUUGCUGGUGUUCCUGUAGCUGCUGGUGUUCCUAAUGUUAUUCUUAUUUCUGUUGUUGCUGCUGUUGCUUCUGCUAUUACUGUUGUUGGCAUAGAGACCCUGGGAGCACAGCUGGCUUCUUUGGGCUCCUACAUCUGGAGCCAGAGACAACCCCAGCACUGCCAGGGGAUUCGAGUGGGCUCCUGCUGCACUCCCCAUAUCAGCCUGGCCCAGAAGCUGAGGCAAGACUAA
RNAcentral lists this long non-coding RNA (2547 nucleotides) under Canis lupus dingo (dingo). RNAcentral describes it as "lncRNA (ENSCAFG00020018700.1)". The record is from RNAcentral. Lineage: Eukaryota; Metazoa; Chordata; Mammalia; Carnivora; Canidae.